UACGGGGGGUGCAAGCGUUGUUCGGAAUCACUGGGUGUAAAGGGCAGGUAGGCGGGCCGAUAAGUCGGAUGUGAAAACCUCGUGGCUCAACCCGAGGCUGGCAUUCGAAACUGUCGGUCUUGAGUACGGGAGAGGAAGAUGGAAUUCCUGGUGUAACGGUGAAAUGUGUAGAUAUCAGGAGGAACACCGGUGGCGAAGGCGGUCUUCUGGCCCUCUACUGACGCUGAGCUGCGAAAGCUAGGGUAGCAAACAGG
RNAcentral lists this ribosomal RNA (254 nucleotides) under uncultured bacterium. RNAcentral describes it as "partial 16S ribosomal RNA". It matches the Rfam family "Bacterial small subunit ribosomal RNA", at positions 524 to 776 of the family's 1533-position model. The record is from RNAcentral.